AUAAAAACUAAAAUGCACUGGCUUCAAUUUCCCCCCCCUGAGUUAGCCUUCCAGUUUAUUUAUAGUUCAAUGGUCUGACCACGGAGCACAGCUCAUUGAACUAUAAAUAAACUGGAAGGCUAACUCAGGGGGGGAAAUUGAAGCCAGUGCAUUUUAGUUUUU
Molecule: microRNA precursor, 162 nt
Filed under: Paramuricea clavata
Lineage: Eukaryota; Metazoa; Cnidaria; Anthozoa; Malacalcyonacea; Plexauridae
Source: RNAcentral